This 253-nucleotide ribosomal RNA is filed under the name uncultured bacterium. RNAcentral's name for it is "partial 16S ribosomal RNA". It matches the Rfam family "Bacterial small subunit ribosomal RNA", at positions 524 to 776 of the family's 1533-position model. The record is from RNAcentral.
UACGUAGGGGGCAAGCGUUGUCCGGAAUCAUUGGGCGUAAAGAGCGUGUAGGCGGUCCGGUAAGUCGGCUGUGAAAGUCCAGGGCUCAACCCUGGGAUGCCGGUCGAUACUGCCGGACUAGAGUUCGGAAGAGGCGAGUGGAAUUCCCGGUGUAGCGGUGAAAUGCGCAGAUAUCAGGAGGAACACCAAUUGCGAAGGCAGCUCGCUGGGACGUUACUGACGCUGAGACGCGAAAGCGUGGGGAGCAAACAGG